Molecule: ribosomal RNA, 156 nt
Filed under: Lactobacillus taiwanensis
Lineage: Bacteria; Bacillati; Bacillota; Bacilli; Lactobacillales; Lactobacillaceae
Description: partial 23S ribosomal RNA
Source: RNAcentral
CGAUGUAAGAAUGUAAGUGUGAAGCCCCCAUGAAGUGUGGAUUUCCAAGGCGUAAGCAGGAAGACACCUUAAGGACGAUGAGUGAGAUAGGCUAUGAGUGGAAGCAAUGUGAUAUGGGGAGCGGACUAUUACUAAUCAGUCGAGCACUUGACCAAA